Molecule: ribosomal RNA, 328 nt
Filed under: uncultured eukaryote
Lineage: Eukaryota
Description: partial 18S ribosomal RNA
Rfam family: Eukaryotic small subunit ribosomal RNA
Source: RNAcentral
CCCUUAGAUGUCCGGGGCUGCACGCGCGCUACACUGAAGGAAUCAGCGUGCUAAAACCAUUGUCGAAAGGCAUUGGUGAACCCAUUAAAAUCCUACGUGAUUGGGAUCGGGAAUUGCAAUUAUUUCCCUUGAACGAGGAAUUCCCAGUAAGUGUGGGUCAUAAGCUCGCGUUGAUUACGUCCCUGCCCUUUGUACACACCGCCCGUCGCUGCCCGGGACUGAGCCGUUUCGAGAAAAGCGGGGACUGCUGCUGUCGGGGCUUUCGGGCCUUGGCUUCGGUGGAAACCGCUUUAAUCGCAGUGGCUUGAACCGGGCAAAAGUCGUAACA